RNAcentral lists this ribosomal RNA (478 nucleotides) under uncultured bacterium. Its description in RNAcentral is "partial 16S ribosomal RNA". It matches the Rfam family "Bacterial small subunit ribosomal RNA", at positions 28 to 523 of the family's 1533-position model. The record is from RNAcentral.
GACGAACGCUGGCGGCGUGCUUAACACAUGCAAGUCGAGCGAUGAAAUCCCUUCGGGGAUGGAUUAGCGGCGGACGGGUGAGUAACACGUGGGCAACCUGCCUCAAAGUGGGGGAUAGCCUUCCGAAAGGGAGAUUAAUACCGCAUAACAUUAGUUUUUCACAUGAAGUACUAAUUAAAGGAGUAAUCCGCUUUGAGAUGGGCCCGCGGCGCAUUAGCUAGUUGGCGAGGUAACGGCUCACCAAGGCCACGAUGCGUAGCCGACCUGAGAGGGUGAUCGGCCACAUUGGAACUGAGACACGGUCCAGACUCCUACGGGAGGCAGCAGUGGGGAAUAUUGCACAGUGGGCGAAAGCCUGAUGCAGCAACGCCGCGUGAGUGAUGAAGGCCUUCGGGUUGUAAAGCUCUGUCUUUGGGGACGAUAAUGACGGUACCCAAGGAGGAAGCCACGGCUAACUACGUGCCAGCCGCCGCGGUAA